CUGAGUUAGAACCCAAAUCCCUUUGUAGUAUCAAACCAUAGGGCGAACAUGAAUUUGUAUCCGUUUGAUUAUGUACAUUCAUCAGAAACUCGAAUGCAGAUAGAGAUGAGCUUGAAAGAGCUGGCAAAGUUCCUGCAGUUUCAGGAAGAUGGGUAAAAUUAUGAGCAUUUACAGACAACUGUGAUCGCAAUGGAAGCUGGGGGGGUGCAGCAGAGGUUGUAGGGGUAUUACUGGGCAUCUGUUGACUAGGCAUCCCAACUGAAAGAGAGGAAAGAUUUGUUGCAACUGUGGACGCUGAAGGUCUGCAAGGUUGUAGGUGUGGGGCAGGAGCUCGAAUUUCACCGCCAAUUUGGAGAUUGCCAGUACCAGGGGAGAUAGAGCUAAUUAGAGGUGGCCUUGAUAGGGCACCUAAGAAAAGUUCUGAUGAAUGAUGGACACCCUGCAGAGAUGGAGCUGCACCACGUGAGCUGGAGGCAGCAAUCUGUGGGCUACCUGCAGGUGGAAAAGCUGAAGACAGACCAGUGACAAUGGCACUCCACUGUGCAGUUGGCUGUGAUGAUGGCUGGAUCAGCUGCUGCAUGAAAGUUGAGGCCACCUCUUGCUGCUUACUAGCUGCACUAGAUGGUUUAGCAUCCAUGCAUUUAGAUUUGAAUGCCUCAGCCAAGAUCUUGUUCAUA
This 677-nucleotide unclassified non-coding RNA is filed under the name Hevea brasiliensis (rubber tree). The record is from RNAcentral. Lineage: Eukaryota; Viridiplantae; Streptophyta; Magnoliopsida; Malpighiales; Euphorbiaceae.